This 270-nucleotide ribosomal RNA is filed under the name uncultured archaeon. Its description in RNAcentral is "partial 16S ribosomal RNA". It matches the Rfam family "Archaeal small subunit ribosomal RNA", at positions 477 to 747 of the family's 1478-position model. The record is from RNAcentral.
CUGCGCCACAAGUGGCAGUCAGCAUUAUUGGGCCUAAAGCAUCCGUAGCCGGCGCUGUAAGUUUUCGGUUAAAUCUGUACGCUCAACGUACAGGCUGCCGGGAAUACUGCAGCGCUAGGGAGUGGGAGAGGUAGACGGUACUCGGUAGGAAGGAGUAAAAUCCUUUGAUCUAUUGAUGACCACCUGUGGCGAAGGCGGUCUACCAGAACACGUCCGACGGUGAGGGAUGAAAGCUGGGGGAGCAAACCGGAUUAGAUACCCCAGUAGUCC